GAUGAACGCUGGCGGCGUGCCUAAUACAUGCAAGUCGAGCGAACAGAUGAGGAGCUUGCUCGUCUGACGUUAGCGGCGGACGGGUGAGUAACACGUGGAUAACCUACCUAUAAGACUGGGAUAACUUCGGGAAACCGGAGCUAAUACCGGAUAAUAUAUUGAACCGCAUGGUUCAAUAGUGAAAGACGGUUUUGCUGUCACUUAUAGAUGGAUCCGCGCCGCAUUAGCUAGUUGGUAAGGUAACGGCUUACCAAGGCAACGAUGCGUAGCCGACCUGAGAGGGUAAUCGGCCACACUGGAACUGAGACACGGUCCAGACUCCUACGGGAGGCAGCAGUAGGGAAUCUUCCGCAAUGGGCGAAAGCCUGACGGAGCAAUGCCGCGUGAGUGAUGAAGGUCUUCGGAUCGUAAAACUCUGUUAUUAGGGAAGAACAAAUGUGUAAGUAACUAUGCACGUCUUGACGGUACCUAAUCAGAAAGCCACGGCUAACUACGUG
Molecule: ribosomal RNA, 497 nt
Filed under: uncultured bacterium
Lineage: Bacteria
Description: partial 16S ribosomal RNA
Rfam family: Bacterial small subunit ribosomal RNA
Source: RNAcentral